GCGGAGGAAAAGAAACCAACAGGGAUUGCCUCAGUAACGGCGAGUGAAGCGGCAACAGCUCAAAUUUGAAAUCUGGUCCCCUUUGGGGGCCCGAGUUGUAAUUUGAAGAGGAUGCUUUUGGCGAGGCGCCGUCCGAGUUCCCUGGAACGGGACGCCGCAGAGGGUGAGAGCCCCGUACGGUCGGACGCCGAGCCUCUGUAAAGCUCCUUCGACGAGUCGAGUAGUUUGGGAAUGCUGCUCAAAAUGGGAGGUAAACCCCUUCUAAAGCUAAAUACCGGCCAGAGACCGAUAGCGCACAAGUAGAGUGAUCGAAAGAUGAAAAGCACUUUGAAAAGAGAGUUAAAAAGCACGUGAAAUUGUUAAAAGGGAAGCGCUUGCGACCAGACUUGCGCCCGUCGGAUCAACCGUCGCUUGCGGCGGCGCACUCCGGCGGGCUCAGGCCAGCAUCAGUUCGCUCGGGGGGAGAAAGGCGGCGGGAAUGUAGCUCCUCGGAGUGUUAUAGCCCGCCGUGUAAUACCCUCGGGUGGACUGAGGACCGCGCGUAGC
This 546-nucleotide ribosomal RNA is filed under the name Scopulariopsis candida. RNAcentral's name for it is "eukaryotic LSU rRNA". It matches the Rfam family "Eukaryotic large subunit ribosomal RNA", at positions 50 to 603 of the family's 3401-position model. The record is from RNAcentral. Lineage: Eukaryota; Fungi; Ascomycota; Sordariomycetes; Microascales; Microascaceae.